AAAAAUUUAUUAUCAACAAAUCAAAGAUAAUAUGCACAAAUUAGAGUGACAAUCACAAAUCAGAGACAAAUGAGUAAAUACGUUUAGUGAUCAAUGAUAAGAAAACAUCUUGUGACAAACGUAUUGAUGAUAAAAUCAUGUCAGAAACUUACAAUGAUGUAGCAGAGCUGAUAGGAAAAGAGAUUUGAUCAAGUCACAUUCAUAUGCAAUGCAAAACACCAAAUAGAGCCACUUGAACUGCCAUUAUUGUUGCAUUCUAAAACAGGCAGGUGUAGCAAAACUUCAAGGAUGAAAAACACUGAAAGAACAAAUGCAUCUUAUUAUAUAUCAAGUUUUUUUAAAUGCAUCUAAUAUAAAGUAAAUUACAACUUAUUUAUGUUUAUUUGUUCUAAGCAAACUCAAAAACUCAAGCGUUUAGUGUUUUUUAGAAAACCUCAUAUAUCUUGUUCAAUAAACAACCAAUUUAGGAAACAUAAAACAUCUUUUCAGAAUGUGAAAAUUAAAUAGAAAUUAAAAUCAAACAUCUUAUAUGCAACAAAAAAACUCCAUAACAUGCAUUAAAACAAAACAAUAUCUUAUAAAUCUAAUUUCCUAACAUCUAUCCAUUCACUCAACAAUUGUAACAAGAAAAGAGAGAUAGAUAUUAACCGAGUUGAUAACAAUGGCAUAAUAAAGUAAGUAAUAAACAAUUCCAACGAUGAACGAAAUCGAGAGAUGAAUUGAAAUUCGGAGACAAACCUUUUGACGAAUAGAGAGGGAAAAGAUGGAAAUAAGUUGGAAUCUUCGUAAAGGCGAGCACAGAUCGUGACAUAAUAAAGUGAACAGCAGAGAGCGAGCAUGAAGCAC
This 846-nucleotide long non-coding RNA is filed under the name Cicer arietinum (chickpea). Its description in RNAcentral is "long non-coding RNA (CARI_LNC002471)". The record is from RNAcentral. Lineage: Eukaryota; Viridiplantae; Streptophyta; Magnoliopsida; Fabales; Fabaceae.